GUGUGCAGGGUGCGUAUUGUGUGCUUCGUGCCUGCGAGCAGUGGUGUGUGGACACGCAGGGACACAGCUUUGAGUGUUGGGUGUAUGUCGCUGAGUGUGUGAAGAUGUGACGUUUGCAUGUGUUUGUCGGCUGCGUCCACGUGCGUAGGGCUGGUGUGGUGUGUCCUCCUGGAUGUGGGAAUGUGUGCAUGACGUGUGUGCGCAGUGAACGUGUUUGCUUCGGCGGGGAGGUCCGUGUAGAUCCUGUGUCUGGUGUGGGGUGGAAUGUGCAGACGCCAAUCAUGUCAGGAGUGGACAGUGUGUUGUGGUGCUUGUGUGACGUCUAACUCUGUGUGUGACGUCCAACUCCGCGUGUGAUGUCCAACUCCACGUGUGACGUCUAAUCCGUGUGUGACGUCCAACCCCGCGUGUGGGUGACCCGUGGUCUCUUGGCAAAAUCCAUGGCGUUUGCGGUGCAUGUGUAAGCGGUGCACUGUAUGCGCUGUUUGGUGUGUGUGGGAUGUGCUCAUGUCCUCGGCGAGCAGCGCGAAGGCCGUGCGUGCGUGUGUGCGGGUGUGUGUGUGUGCGCGCGCGCGCGUGUGUGUGUUCCGCGAGGCGCCGAGAUGUGCCGUGCCUUGCGCAUGCUCCGUGUGCGGGAGCUUGGGCUCUGCUCGGCGGCGAGAUGGCUGUCAUCCGGGCCGAAAGCCCGCUGUGCUGUCGCCUGAGCUGAGCAAUGGAGGCUAGAAUACAAUGGAAUUGUAUCUCCAUUGCCACACCAUGCCACAAGGAAGGGGCAUGUGUUUUACAAGGAGAGGCCACAUGUAGGUGUCUGGCAGCCCCAGCUGAGGCUCCAUUCAACAGCCAGCACCAGCCUCCAGCCAGCAAACGGAAGCUGAGAUGGGCUCAGCGUGAGCUGCGGAGGAGGCAGCACAUGACCAGGAACGGCCAGCGCAGGGACCACCGGGCGCGGGAGGAUGAAGAGGAGCCUGUCUGUCAGCAGACGUGGGACCUGCACGCCUUGGUACAGUGCGUAGGUGGCACUUCACCUUGAAGGCGCCGUGGUGUCCUACAUACGGUCUCUGGAGUUCAAUAGACUCCAAGUUCAAACUCCAGGUCAGCUAUUGUUUUAAAAAUAUAUUUGUUAUUGAUUACAGAGAGGAAGGGAGAGGGAGAGAGAGAGAAAUAUCUAUGAUGAGAGAGAACCAUUGAUUGGCUGCCUCCUGCACACGCUCCACUGGGGAUCGAGUCUGCAACAUGGGCAUGUGCCCUGACCAGGAAUCGAACUGUGACCUCCUGGUUCAUAGGUCGACGCUCAACCACUGAACCACACUGGCAGGGCUCCAGGUCAGCUAAUUUAAAAGCUGUGAGACCUCAGGCAAAUUACCCUCUCUGGGCCUUAAUUUCUUCAUCUGUGAAAUGGGGAUAACAGUACCAGCCUCGUGUGUGGGAAUUAAAUGAAAUAACUGUUAGGUGUUUAACACAGGAUCUGGCUCAUCGCAGUCACUCGCUGAAUGUGAACUCUCUCUUUUCCUCCCCUUGGGACCCGGAGCACCGCUUUCCCAGUGGUGAGAUGUGUUGGGGCAAAGAUCCUGUGACCAGAGGUGGUAAGGCUUCUCACCCCAAUUACUCACACCCUCAAAGGAGUUCCCUGCCUCAGGGCUUUGCACCUUGCAAAGGUGAAGCAAGCCUGCAUGGGUCCAGAGCCGCCAGAUGGUCCGUCCCGCCUCACCCUUUUUCAAUCCCUAAAAAUCUGCAAAACAGAGAAUUAGACCGCAAAUGGUUUGGAGUCAUAACCACGAAACGUGCACGUUAGAAAUCGAUGAACAGAAACAUGUGGUGCAGCAACACUGAAGCAAUGCUCCUGGGCGGGCCCCCUCGUUUUACGAGUUCACUGACAGUGUGAACCCCAGGCAGACCUCCCCCCUGAAGACUGGCGGUCCUGGGCAGCUCAGGCAGCCUGGCAGCUCUGCACAGCGGGAAUGCCGGGAAU
Molecule: long non-coding RNA, 1969 nt
Organism: Myotis myotis
Lineage: Eukaryota; Metazoa; Chordata; Mammalia; Chiroptera; Vespertilionidae
Exons: 3
Source: RefSeq, a predicted model, not a curated record